RNAcentral lists this ribosomal RNA (508 nucleotides) under uncultured bacterium. RNAcentral describes it as "partial 16S ribosomal RNA". It matches the Rfam family "Bacterial small subunit ribosomal RNA", at positions 28 to 523 of the family's 1533-position model. The record is from RNAcentral.
GAUGAACGCUAGCUACAGGCUUAACACAUGCAAGUCGAGGGGAAACGAUAUUGGAAGCUUGCUUCCGAUAGGCGUCGACCGGCGCACGGGUGAGUAACGCGUAUCCAACCUGCCCACCACUUGGGGAUAACCUUGCGAAAGUAAGACUAAUACCCAAUGAUAUCCCUAGAAGACAUCUGAAGGAGAUUAAAGAUUUAUCGGUGAUGGAUGGGGAUGCGUCUGAUUAGCUUGUUGGCGGGGUAACGGCCCACCAAGGCGACGAUCAGUAGGGGUUCUGAGAGGAAGGUCCCCCACAUUGGAACUGAGACACGGUCCAAACUCCUACGGGAGGCAGCAGUGAGGAAUAUUGGUCAAUGGGCGAGAGCCUGAACCAGCCAAGUAGCGUGCAGGAUGACGGCCCUAUGGGUUGUAAACUGCUUUUAUAAGGGAAUAAAGUGAGCCUCGUGAGGCUUUUUGCAUGUACCUUAUGAAUAAGGACCGGCUAAUUCCGUGCCAGCCGCCGCAGUAA